UCUGUAGGCGGUGCGGCAAGUCGGGAGUGAAAUCCCUGGGCUUAACUCAGGGGCUGCUUCCGAAACUGCCGUGCUGGAGUGCGAGAGAGGUGAGUGGAAUUGCAGGUGUAGCGGUGAAAUGCGUAGAUAUCUGCAGGAACACCAGAGGCGAAGGCGGCUCACUGGAUCGCAACUGACGCUGAGAGACGAAAGCUAGGGGAGCAAACAGGAUUAGAUACCCUGGUAGUCCUAGCCCUAAACGAUCAGGACUUGGCGUGGGCCCCGUACGGGGCUCGUGUCGGAGCUAACGUGUUAAGUCCUGCGCCUGGGGAGUACGGUCGCAAGGCUGAA
Molecule: ribosomal RNA, 330 nt
Filed under: uncultured bacterium
Lineage: Bacteria
Description: bacterial SSU rRNA
Rfam family: Bacterial small subunit ribosomal RNA
Source: RNAcentral